CCUACGGGGGGCAGCAGUGGGGAAUAUUGCACAAUGGGCGCAAGCCUGAUGCAGCCAUGCCGCGUGUAUGAAGAAGGCCUUCGGGUUGUAAAGUACUUUCAGCGAGGAGGAAGGCAUUAAGGUUAAUAACCUUGGUGAUUGACGUUACUCGCAGAAGAAGCACCGGCUAACUCCGUGCCAGCAGCCGCGGUAAUACGGAGGGUGCAAGCGUUAAUCGGAAUUACUGGGCGUAAAGCGCACGCAGGCGGUCUGUCAAGUCGGAUGUGAAAUCCCCGGGCUCAACCUGGGAACUGCAUUCGAAACUGGCAGGCUAGAGUCUUGUAGAGGGGGGUAGAAUUCCAGGUGUAGCGGUGAAAUGCGUAGAGAUCUGGAGGAAUACCGGUGGCGAAGGCGGCCCCCUGGACAAAGACUGACGCUCAGGUGCGAAAGCGUGGGGAGCAAACAGGAUUAGAUACCCGGGUAGUC
RNAcentral lists this ribosomal RNA (465 nucleotides) under uncultured bacterium. RNAcentral's name for it is "bacterial SSU rRNA". It matches the Rfam family "Bacterial small subunit ribosomal RNA", at positions 338 to 795 of the family's 1533-position model. The record is from RNAcentral.